CAAUGCGAGCAAUCGUGACCAGGGAACUCCAAGUGGCUGGGGUAAUACCCAGUUUUUUCUUGACUCUUCAAAGGUCUUGGAAUAAGGGGUGGGUAAGGACGGUGCCAGCCGCCGCGGUAAUACCGGCGCCUCAAGUGGUAGUCGCUUUUAUUGGGCCUAAAACGUCCGUAGCCGGUCUGGUGCAUUCGUGGGUAAAUCAACCCGCUCAACGGGUUGAAUUCUGCGAGCACGGCCAGACUUGGGACCGGGAGAGGUGUGGGGUACUCUCAGGGUAGGGGUAAAAUCCUGUCAUCCUGAGAGGACCACCUGUUGCGAAGGCGCCACACUAGAACGGAUUCGACGGUCAGGGACGAAACCUAGGGGCACGAACCGGAUUAGAUACCCGGGUAGUCCUAGGUGUAAACGCUGUGGACUUGAUGUUGGGGGUGCUCCGAGCACUCUCAGUGUCGAAGCGAAGGUGAUAAGUCCACUGCCUGGGGAGUACGGUCGCAAGGCUGAAACUUAAAGGAAUUGGCGGGGGAGCACUGCAACCUGAGGAUUGUGCGGUUUAAUUGGACUCAACGCCGGGA
This 569-nucleotide ribosomal RNA is filed under the name uncultured Candidatus Poseidoniales archaeon. Its description in RNAcentral is "bacterial SSU rRNA". It matches the Rfam family "Archaeal small subunit ribosomal RNA", at positions 353 to 923 of the family's 1478-position model. The record is from RNAcentral. Lineage: Archaea; Methanobacteriati; Thermoplasmatota; Candidatus Poseidoniia; Candidatus Poseidoniales.